GACGAACGCUGGCGGCGUGCUUAACACAUGCAAGUCGAACGGAAAGGCCCCUUUGGGGGUACUCGAGUGGCGAACGGGUGAGUAACACGUGAGUAACCUUCCCUUGCCUUCGGGAUAACUUCAGGAAACUGGGGCUAAUACCGGAUAGGAAUCCUUUCUGCAUGGUGGGGGUUGGAAAGCUUCGGCGGUUUUGGAUGUACUCGCGGCUUAUCUGCUUGUUGGUGGGGUAGUGGCUUACCAAGGCUUUGACGGGUAGCCGGCCUGAGUGGGCGACCGGCCACAUUGGGACUGAGGGACGGCCCAGACUCCUACGGGAGGGAGCAGGGGGGAAUAUUGAACAAGGGGCGGAAGGCUGAUGCAGCAACGCCGCGGGCGGGAUGACGGCCUUCGGGUUGUAAAACGCUUUCAGCAGGGGCGAAGCUUGUGGUGACGGUACCUGCAGAAGAAGCACCGGCUAACUACGUG
RNAcentral lists this ribosomal RNA (465 nucleotides) under uncultured bacterium. Its description in RNAcentral is "partial 16S ribosomal RNA". It matches the Rfam family "Bacterial small subunit ribosomal RNA", at positions 28 to 507 of the family's 1533-position model. The record is from RNAcentral.